AGAGUUUGAUCCUGGCUCAGGAUGAACGCUGGCGGCGUGCCUAAUACAUGCAAGUCGAACGCGGGCACUUGUGCCCGAGUGGCGAACGGGUGAGUAAUACAUAAGUAACCUGGCCUUUACAGGGGGAUAACUGCUGGAAACGGCAGCUAAGACCGCAUAGUAGGGACACUGCAUGGCGACCGUAUUAAAAGUGCUGCAAGGCACUGGUAGAGGAUGGACUUAUGGCGCAUUAGCUGGUUGGUGAGGUAACGGCUCACCAAGGCGACGAUGCGUAGCCGACCUGAGAGGGUGACCGGCCACACUGGGACUGAGACACGGCCCAGACCCCUACGGGAGGCAGCAGUAGGGAAUUUUCGGCAAUGGGGGAACCCUGACCGAGCAACGCCGCGUGAAGGAAGAAGGAAUUCGUUCUGUAAACUUCUGUUAUAAAGGAAGAAAGACGGAUGGAGGAAAUGACAUCCGAGUGACGGUACUUUAUGAGAAAGCCACGGCUAACUACGUG
RNAcentral lists this ribosomal RNA (502 nucleotides) under uncultured Coprobacillus sp. Its description in RNAcentral is "bacterial SSU rRNA". It matches the Rfam family "Bacterial small subunit ribosomal RNA", at positions 8 to 507 of the family's 1533-position model. Lineage: Bacteria; Bacillati; Bacillota; Erysipelotrichia; Erysipelotrichales; Coprobacillaceae. The record is from RNAcentral.